This 426-nucleotide ribosomal RNA is filed under the name uncultured bacterium. Its description in RNAcentral is "bacterial SSU rRNA". It matches the Rfam family "Bacterial small subunit ribosomal RNA", at positions 355 to 796 of the family's 1533-position model. The record is from RNAcentral.
UAAGGAAUCUUCCACAAUGGGCGAAAGCCUGAUGGAGCAACGCCGCGUGCAGGAUGAAGGCCCUCGGGUCGUAAACUGCUUUUAUGAGUGAAGAAUAUGACGGUAACUCAUGAAUAAGCACCGGCUAACUACGUGCCAGCAGCCGCGGUCAUACGUAGGGUGCAAGCAUUAUCCGGAGUGACUGGGCGUAAAGAGUUGCGUAGGUGGUCUGUAAAGCGAAUAGUGAAAUCUGGGGGCUCAACCUCACAGACUAUUAUUCGAACUCACAGACUCGAGAAUGGUAGAGGUAACUGGAAUUUCUUGUGUAGGAGUGAAAUCCGUAGAUAUAAGAAGGAACACCAAUGGCGUAGGCAGGUUACUGGACCAUUUCUGACACUGAGGCACGAAAGCGUGGGGAGCGAACCGGAUUAGAUACCCCCGUAGUCC